Molecule: ribosomal RNA, 301 nt
Filed under: uncultured bacterium
Lineage: Bacteria
Description: partial 16S ribosomal RNA
Rfam family: Bacterial small subunit ribosomal RNA
Source: RNAcentral
CAGCCGCCGCGGUAAUACAGAGGGUGCGAGCGUUAAUCGGAUUUACUGGGCGUAAAGCGUGCGUAGGCGGCUUUUUAAGUCGGAUGUGAAAUCCCUGAGCUUAACUUAGGAAUUGCAUUCGAUACUGGGAAGCUAGAGUAUGGGAGAGGAUGGUAGAAUUCCAGGUGUAGCGGUGAAAUGCGUAGAGAUCUGGAGGAAUACCGAUGGCGAAGGCAGCCAUCUGGCCUAAUACUGACGCUGAGGUACGAAAGCAUGGGGAGCAAACAGGAUUAGAUACCCGAGUAGUCCCUGUCUCUUAUAU